RNAcentral lists this ribosomal RNA (715 nucleotides) under uncultured euryarchaeote. Its description in RNAcentral is "SSU rRNA". It matches the Rfam family "Archaeal small subunit ribosomal RNA", at positions 135 to 859 of the family's 1478-position model. The record is from RNAcentral. Lineage: Archaea; Methanobacteriati; Methanobacteriota.
GAAAACUGUAAACUCGGAUAUUGAAUGGAUUCUGGAAUGAGUCAUUCAUUAAACGUAAGGCAUCAGGAUGAGUCGGCGGCGGAUUAGGCAGUUGGCGGUGUAACGGACCACCAAACUUAAGAUCCGUAGGGGCCCUGAGAGGGGUAGCCCCGAGAGGGACACUGAAAUACUGGUCCCAGCUCCACGGAGUGCAGCAGGCGCGAAACCUCCACAAUGCGCGAAAGCGUGAUGGGGGGAUCCCGAGUGCUUACAUUUAUGUAAGCUUUUGCCAAGAGUUCACAUCUUGGAGAAUAAGUGGUGGGUAAGACCGGUGCCAGCAGCCGCGGUAACCCCGGCGCCACGAGUGGCAAUCACUUUUAUUGGGCCUAAAGCAUUCGUAGCAGGUUUGAAAAAUCCUUUGUGAAAUUGUUGAACUCAAUACAACAGCGUGCAGAGGACACUUUCAGACUAGAGACUGGGAGGAGUUGGGGGUAUGCCUGGGGGAGCGGUUAAAUGUGAUAAUCCUAGGUAGACCACCUGUGGCGAAGGCGCCCAACUAGAACAGUUCUGACUGUGAGGGAUGAAAGCUAGGGGAGCGAUCCGGAUUAGAUACCCGAGUAGUCCUAGCUGUAAACACUGUGAGCUAGGUGUCGCAUAUUCUACGAGAAUAUGCGGUGUCGAAAAGAAGUUGAUAAGCUCACCGCCUGGGAAGUACGGUCGCAAGACUGAAACUUAA